CCUACGGGCGGCUGCAGUCGAGAAUUUUUGGCAAUGGGCGAAAGCCUGACCAAGCGAUGCCGCGUGCGGGAUGAAGGCCUUCGGGUUGUAAACCGCUGUCAGUGGGGAGGAAAGCUUUGUGAAGAGCAAGGCUUGACCUAUCCGCAGAGGAAGUGUGGGCUAAGUUCGUGCCAGCAGCCGCGGUAAGACGAACCACACAAACGAUAUUCGGGAUUACUAGGCUUAAAAGGUGCGUCAGCUGCGCAGGAAUGAAAUACCUCGGCUCAAGCGAGGAACUGCGCCCAAAACUACUGUGCUUGAGGAAGAUAGAGGUAAGCGGAACUUACGGUGGAGCGGUGAAAUGCGUUGAUAUCGUAAGGAACACCUGUGGCGAAAGCGGCUUACUGGGUCUUUUCUGACGCUGAUGCACGAAAGCUAGGGGAGCAAACGGGAUUAGAUACCCUUGUAGUC
This 450-nucleotide ribosomal RNA is filed under the name uncultured bacterium. RNAcentral describes it as "partial 16S ribosomal RNA". It matches the Rfam family "Bacterial small subunit ribosomal RNA", at positions 338 to 795 of the family's 1533-position model. The record is from RNAcentral.